RNAcentral lists this ribosomal RNA (1702 nucleotides) under Salmonella enterica. RNAcentral describes it as "partial 23S ribosomal RNA". It matches the Rfam family "Bacterial large subunit ribosomal RNA", at positions 1117 to 2802 of the family's 2925-position model. The record is from RNAcentral. RNAcentral also lists the same sequence under 1 other name. Lineage: Bacteria; Pseudomonadati; Pseudomonadota; Gammaproteobacteria; Enterobacterales; Enterobacteriaceae.
CAUCAUUUAAAGAAAGCGUAAUAGCUCACUGGUCGAGUCGGCCUGCGCGGAAGAUGUAACGGGGCUAAACCAUGCACCGAAGCUGCGGCAGCGACACUGUGUGUUGUUGGGUAGGGGAGCGUUCUGUAAGCCUGUGAAGGUGUGUCGUGAGGCAUGCUGGAGGUAUCAGAAGUGCGAAUGCUGACAUAAGUAACGAUAAAGCGGGUGAAAAGCCCGCUCGCCGGAAGACCAAGGGUUCCUGUCCAACGUUAAUCGGGGCAGGGUGAGUCGACCCCUAAGGCGAGGCCGAAAGGCGUAGUCGAUGGGAAACGGGUUAAUAUUCCCGUACUUGGUGUUACUGCGAAGGGGGGACGGAGAAGGCUAUGUUGGCCGGGCGACGGUUGUCCCGGUUUAAGCGUGUAGGUGUGUGUUCCAGGUAAAUCCGGUUCACUUUAACACUGAGGCGUGACGACGAGGCACUACGGUGCUGAAGCAACAAAUGCCCUGCUUCCAGGAAAAGCCUCUAAGCAUCAGGUAACAUCAAAUCGUACCCCAAACCGACACAGGUGGUCAGGUAGAGAAUACCAAGGCGCUUGAGAGAACUCGGGUGAAGGAACUAGGCAAAAUGGUGCCGUAACUUCGGGAGAAGGCACGCUGACACGUAGGUGAAGUGAUUUACUCAUGGAGCUGAAGUCAGUCGAAGAUACCAGCUGGCUGCAACUGUUUAUUAAAAACACAGCACUGUGCAAACACGAAAGUGGACGUAUACGGUGUGACGCCUGCCCGGUGCCGGAAGGUUAAUUGAUGGGGUCAGCGCAAGCGAAGCUCCUGAUCGAAGCCCCGGUAAACGGCGGCCGUAACUAUAACGGUCCUAAGGUAGCGAAAUUCCUUGUCGGGUAAGUUCCGACCUGCACGAAUGGCGUAAUGAUGGCCAGGCUGUCUCCACCCGAGACUCAGUGAAAUUGAACUCGCUGUGAAGAUGCAGUGUACCCGCGGCAAGACGGAAAGACCCCGUGAACCUUUACUAUAGCUUGACACUGAACAUUGAGCCUUGAUGUGUAGGAUAGGUGGGAGGCUUUGAAGUGUGGACGCCAGUCUGCAUGGAGCCGACCUUGAAAUACCACCCUUUAAUGUUUGAUGUUCUAACGUGGACCCGUUACCCGGGUUGCGGACAGUGUCUGGUGGGUAGUUUGACUGGGGCGGUCUCCUCCUAAAGAGUAACGGAGGAGCACGAAGGUUGGCUAAUCCUGGUCGGACAUCAGGAGGUUAGUGCAAUGGCAUAAGCCAGCUUGACUGCGAGCGUGACGGCGCGAGCAGGUGCGAAAGCAGGUCAUAGUGAUCCGGUGGUUCUGAAUGGAAGGGCCAUCGCUCAACGGAUAAAAGGUACUCCGGGGAUAACAGGCUGAUACCGCCCAAGAGUUCAUAUCGACGGCGGUGUUUGGCACCUCGAUGUCGGCUCAUCACAUCCUGGGGCUGAAGUAGGUCCCAAGGGUAUGGCUGUUCGCCAUUUAAAGUGGUACGCGAGCUGGGUUUAGAACGUCGUGAGACAGUUCGGUCCCUAUCUGCCGUGGGCGCUGGAGAACUGAGGGGGGCUGCUCCUAGUACGAGAGGACCGGAGUGGACGCAUCACUGGUGUUCGGGUUGUCAUGCCAAUGGCACUGCCCGGUAGCUAAAUGCGGAAGAGAUAAGUGCUGAAAGCAUCUAAGCACGAAACUUGCCCCGA